This is a long non-coding RNA of Bacillus rossius redtenbacheri, 1180 nucleotides long. RefSeq lists it as uncharacterized. Lineage: Eukaryota; Metazoa; Arthropoda; Insecta; Phasmatodea; Bacillidae. The record is from RefSeq and is a predicted model, not a curated record. The transcript is spliced from 2 exons.
AUUUUUAUGAAUAAUUCUUUUAUUUAUUAUUCAUUGUUUUGGUUUGAUUCAGUUUCUUUAAUACUGUACAUCGAUAUUGGUUCUAUGGCCGGCUACUGGGCGCGGUAUCGUCGCUUCCCGGUCUGACGUCACCAGCCCCAUAGUGCGGGAGUGGGGAGUGAGCUGUGAGCCUCGGGGAGCGAUGGACUGCGAGUCGCCGCCGACGCACGUGCGGGGGAAUUACGCCGCGGGCAGAGGUGUAUAAUGCUUCGACACAGCGCCAGGCAGUCCGUGCCUGGGUUGGCAUGGAUGGGGCCGUACCUCCAGCUGGUACGGAAGGAAGUGCCUCGCAAGAGAAUACUUCGAUAAGAUGGCAACUCUCGGCGUGCGGGCCUGCACACUAGCGGCCCUGGCGGCGGCCGGGGGAGACUCACCGUGAAGAGCGCCUGGUGUUGGUCGAUCAUGGCGCGCACCACGCUGAUGGCGUCCGCGCGCUCGUCCGACGUCUCUGCGCUCACGUCCUUGGCGCUGCCCGGCCGGAUCCGGUGCAGGAUGUUGGGCGCGAACAGCGUCGCCAGGUUGCUGCUGUCCAUCUUGUUGCCCGCCACGCUCUCUCCUGCCGCAGCACCACACCUCUGCACCUCCCGAACCUCCACCAUUAUACCUCCUACACUUCUGACCUCACACCUACCCCACAUCUGCACCUCCGCCCUGUUAACACCUGAUCCUCCACCAUUAUACCUCCUACACUUCUGACCUCACACCUACCCCACAUCUGCACCUCCGCCCUGUUAACACCUGAUCCUCCACCAUUAUACCUCCUACACUUCUGACCUCAACCCUACCACACCUCAGCACCUCCGCCUUGUUAACUCCAGAACCAACACCACCAUACCUCCUACACUUCUGACGUCACACCUACCCCACCUCUGCACCUCCGCCCUGUUUUCUCCCGAACCUCCAACAUUAUACCUCCUACACUUCUGACCUCACAGCUACCACACCUCUGCACCUCCGCCCUCUUUACUGCCGAACCAUCACCAUUAUGCCUCCUACACUUAAUACCUCUCACCUUUUACACCUUUUACUUCCUUUGUUGAAAAUUAUCAUCUUAACAACUUCAAUGUGUACAUUAACUGCUGUCAUUCGUAAAACAUUUUUUUUUGGUAAUUCUCAAUUCAGGAUAAACAUUAAAUGAGUA